Molecule: non-coding RNA, 119 nt
Organism: Gallus gallus (chicken)
Lineage: Eukaryota; Metazoa; Chordata; Aves; Galliformes; Phasianidae
Source: Rfam
GCUUGCAGCCAUCCCACCCUGGUAAUGCUCAAUCUUGUCUGAUUUCAGAAGCUAAGCAGGGUCGGGCCUGGUUAGUACUUGGAUGGGAGACCUCCUGGGAAUACCGGGUGCUGUAGGCU